RNAcentral lists this ribosomal RNA (607 nucleotides) under uncultured bacterium. RNAcentral describes it as "bacterial SSU rRNA". It matches the Rfam family "Bacterial small subunit ribosomal RNA", at positions 88 to 680 of the family's 1533-position model. The record is from RNAcentral.
AAAGCGAGCGGCGGAUGGGUGAGUAACACGUGGGGAACCUGCCCCAUAGUCUAGGAUACCACGUUGGAAACAGGUGCUAAUACCGGAUAAGAAAGCAGAUCGCAUGAUCAGCUUUUAAAAGGCGGCGUAAGCUGUCGCUAUGGGAUGGCCCCGCGGUGCAUUAACUAGUUGGUAAGGUAAAGGCUUACCAAGGCGAUGAUGCAUAGCCGAGUUGAGAGACUGAUCGGCCACAUUGGGACUGAGACACGGCCCAAACUCCUACGGGAGGCAGCAGUAGGGAAUCUUCCACAAUGGACGCAAGUCUGAUGGAGCAACGCCGCGUGAGUGAAGAAGGUUUUCGGAUCGUAAAGCUCUGUUGUUGGUGAAGAAGGAUAGAGGUAGUAACUGGCCUUUAUUUGACGGUAAUCAACCAGAAAGUCACGGCUAACUACGUGCCAGCAGCCGCGGUAAUACGUAGGUGGCAAGCGUUGUCCGGAUUUAUUGGGCGUAAAGCGAGCGCAGGCGGAAGAAUAAGUCUGAUGUGAAAGCCCUCGGCUUAACCGAGGAACUGCAUCGGAAACUGUUUUUCUUGAGUGCAGAACAGGAGAGUGGAACUCCCUGUGUAGCG